This 493-nucleotide ribosomal RNA is filed under the name uncultured bacterium. RNAcentral's name for it is "partial 16S ribosomal RNA". It matches the Rfam family "Bacterial small subunit ribosomal RNA", at positions 28 to 507 of the family's 1533-position model. The record is from RNAcentral.
GACGAACGCUGGCGGCGUGCUUAACACAUGCAAGUCGAACGGUGAAGGGACCGGUUUUUGCUGGUUCUGGAUGAGUGGCGAACGGGUGAGUAACACGUGAGUAACCUGCCCCCUUCUUCUGGAUAACCGCAUGAAAGUGUGGCUAAUACGGGAUAUUCUGCGCCUGCUGCAUGGUGGGUGUGGGAAAGAUAUUGUUUCGGUGGGGGAUGGGCUCGCGGCCUAUCAGCUUGUUGGUGGGGUGAUGGCCUACCAAGGCGGUGACGGGUAGCCGGCCUGAGAGGGUGGACGGUCACACUGGGACUGAGACACGGCCCAGACUCCUACGGGAGGCAGCAGUGGGGAAUAUUGCACAAUGGGCGCAAGCCUGAUGCAGCGACGCCGCGUGAGGGAUGGAGGCCUUCGGGUUGUAAACCUCUUUCGCCAGUGAAGCAGGCCCGUCCCUUUUGUGGGUGGGUUGACGGUAGCUGGAGAAGAAGCGCCGGCUAACUACGUG